AUUGAACGCUGGCGGCAGGCUUAACACAUGCAAGUCGAGCGGAAACGAUACCAGCUUGCUGGUAGGCGUCGAGCGGCGGACGGGUGAGUAACACUUAGGAAUCUACCUAGUAGUAGGGGAUAGCUCGGGGAAACUCGAAUUAAUACCGCAUACGACCUACGGGAGAAAGGGGGCAGUUUACUGCUCUCGCUAUUAGAUGAGCCUAAGUCGGAUUAGCUAGAUGGUGGGGUAAAGGCCUACCAUGGCGACGAUCUGUAGCUGGUCUGAGAGGAUGAUCAGCCACACCGGGACUGAGACACGGCCCGGACUCCUACGGGAGGCAGCAGUGGGGAAUAUUGGACAAUGGGGGCAACCCUGAUCCAGCCAUGCCGCGUGUGUGAAGAAGGCCUUUUGGUUGUAAAGCACUUUAAGCAGUGAAGAAAACCAUAUGGUUAAUACCCAUAUGCGAUGACAUUAGCUGCAGAAUAAGCACCGGCUAACUCUGUGCCAGCAGCCGCGGUAAUACAGAGGGUGCAAGCGUUAAUCGGAAUUACUGGGCGUAAAGCGAGCGUAGGUGGCUUGAUAAGUCAGAUGUGAAAUCCCCGGGCUUAACCUGGGAACUGCAUCUGAUACUGUUAAGCUAGAGUAGGUGAGAGGGAAGUAGAAUUCCAGGUGUAGCGGUGAAAUGCGUAGAGAUCUGGAGGAAUACCGAUGGCGAAGGCAGCUUCCUGGCAUCAUACUGACACUGAGGCUCGAAAGCGUGGGUAGCAAACAGG
RNAcentral lists this ribosomal RNA (755 nucleotides) under uncultured bacterium. Its description in RNAcentral is "bacterial SSU rRNA". It matches the Rfam family "Bacterial small subunit ribosomal RNA", at positions 28 to 776 of the family's 1533-position model. The record is from RNAcentral.